GUUUAUUAUAGAUUUAACACAUUUCGAUGCUUGCAGAACAUUAACAAGGAUCCCGGCAAUCAGUUAAAGAUGCAUUACUUUUAAAAUCAUAUUUCGAUAUGAUUUACCUCAAGGUGUGAAAUUUAGAUUAUCAUAUAAAUAAACCAGUAUGCUACGUUUAAAGGACUAUUUCUGUUUGAAAUCGACUGUAUCUCCUUGGGUGAAAGUUGACGGUGACGUGACUGCAGAACUGUUUCGAAGCUUUCAACACUUGUAAAAGGUCCUCGGGACACAAAGACCACGGUUUCGUCGCAGGUGAAAGGAAACAACCAGAGGACUUGUGCGACAGUCCUAUCAAAUGCGAGAGCAAGGCAGAGAGAAGACCUAGAAGAAGCAGAAGUCCAUCUCUGAUAAGGGCUCCAUACAGGCCAAGGUUUGGUGGGAGAUUCUUCAGGCCUUGGUUCAAGAGGGGUGAGAGAUUUUUCCAAAGGCCAAGCUUCCACUAUCAUGGUAGCACAGGUGUGAGGUUCCAUGCCAGGGGCUCUCUGGGGGCUUUAUCUCCCCCCUCACAUGCUACCUGGCAUUCUGAUUUAAAGUAUAAGAAGAAAUGCUCUGCUGGGACCUCGAAACAUCUCAGUGAUAAUCCUCAGUUAUCUAAAUGUACAAGCAGAGAGAGAGAACUGAAGUCCCUUUCCUUUCUGGUCUCUCAAGAAGAUACUGCUAGCCAAACAAGAGAUAUCCCAUUUUCUGUGAUGAGGGCAGCACAACGAAAUCAAGCUAUCCAGCAAAAGAGGAGAGAAAUUGAGGAGGUGUAUAGGCAAGACUGUGACACAUUUGGAAUCAUAGUGAAAAUGCUGAUUGCCAAAGACCCAUCUCUGGAGCAACCCAUACAGUCAUCCUUGCAGGAGAAUCUGAGAGAGAUCGGCCUACGAUGUGUAGGAGCCAUGCAGAACUUUAUCAUGGAGUAUGACUCCAAUACCCAAAGUCCCUCAGACCCUCCUCAGCUCUAAACAUUCUAUCUCUCUGUCUGUCUGUAUGUUCACCCUCAUCUAAUACAAAGGUUUUUUCCUCCUGAUGGCCAUCCUUUUUACCUCUUAUUUUAACUCCCAGAGAAAAGGCAAGACCUUUAAUAAAUUAUUAAAUGUUAUAAUAUAAUAAUAGAUUGUCUGUACAGCAUAGGACUAUUCCUUCACAUACACACAUCUGACAUCAUUGCAAUGUAAAUACCCUCAUCCUCAUUAUUGUAAGUCAUCUGUGGCUUUUGAUUUAAUGCUGA
Molecule: RNA transcript, 1255 nt
Organism: Megalops cyprinoides (Indo-Pacific tarpon)
Lineage: Eukaryota; Metazoa; Chordata; Actinopteri; Elopiformes; Megalopidae
Gene name: periphilin-1-like
Exons: 7
Source: RefSeq, a predicted model, not a curated record